Molecule: ribosomal RNA, 253 nt
Filed under: uncultured bacterium
Lineage: Bacteria
Description: partial 16S ribosomal RNA
Rfam family: Bacterial small subunit ribosomal RNA
Source: RNAcentral
UACGUAGGUGGCAAGCGUUGUCCGGAUUUACUGGGCGUAAAGGGCGUGCAGGCGGCCCGUUAAGUGCAGGGUGAAAGCUCCCGGCUCAACUGGGAGAGGUCCUUGCAUACUGGCGGGCUUGAGGGAGCUAGAGGAGAGUGGAAUUCCCGGUGUAGUGGUGAUAUGCGUAGAUAUCGGGAGGAACACCAGUGGCGAAGGCGGCUCUCUGGGGCUUUCCUGACGCUGAGACGCGAAAGCGUGGGGAGCGAACCGG